Molecule: long non-coding RNA, 1257 nt
Organism: Hippocampus comes (tiger tail seahorse)
Lineage: Eukaryota; Metazoa; Chordata; Actinopteri; Syngnathiformes; Syngnathidae
Exons: 3
Source: RefSeq, a predicted model, not a curated record
UGCAUUUGCUGAAUAAAAAUUGGGCAGAUUAAUCCACUUGUUUUCAUCCAUCUCAGGGAACUGACGUUUUAUCCUGCAUCGCCCCCUGCUGUCGACUGAAAUUGACGUCAAACUGCCUUGCGAACGUGGGCCACGACUCACCUCUCUUCUGUGUUUGGUCACAUGACGUUCACAAAGCGACUCAUUUCGGCCUCCGGCUGGUGAUGUUUUCUCUCAAAAUGGGAUCCGCCUGCAGAUAUACAGAGGGUGAUUACUACUGGUGUGCCUGGGGAGGUGGAGGAAAGAGGGGGCAGUUUGCAGCAGGAGACCAAAUAAUAAAAUUAAGGAAACGGGAAGGAAAUGACAAAGGCUUUCCUCUGAAGCCACACAACUACAACUCUCCCUUUGUCAUCCUGUGUGGAAAAUUGGACUCACACAAACACACGCGCGCAUGAACGCUAUGUUGUUGUUGUGACUGGGAUGAAAAGUUUGGUACACAGACAUAAGAGCCGAGCGAUAAAGAAAAGAAAUGAGGGGAGGAAAGCAGUUGAUUAAGACAUGAAGAUAAUUGUAAACAUGUAAAAAAAAAAAAAAAAAAAAAAAAAACACACUUGUUGGCAGUCGUCAUUGUGACAAAUGGGUAAAUAAUGAACAUUUGAAGGCUACAAAAUGUCCAUAUAAUCAUCGAUUCGAAUAGUCACAAAUCUCAUUUGGUUGUUUUGCUGUGACUGAGUUUUUUGGGGUGGUUUUCAUACUUGUACUUUGUACAAUGAGCAGGGUAUGCAAAUACCAAUCAUCAGAAUUUGUGUGGAUGCAUUUAUAUGUACUUGAUAAAAAAAAUCAUCUAUUUAAAUAUACGUUUAGUCGACUACAGUAAAUGUGUUUGUUUUUUUGUUUUGUUUUGUUUAUUUCUUACUUUUUCCUUCAGCCUCUGCAGUAAAUGAGGCCUGUUUAUCCAACAUAGGUGGUUGUUUCAAUGUUGACUCAAACAAUCAGUACAACAAUACAAGCAACCUGCAUCAAACAAUGCAAAAGUAUUUCCCAUUGUUUGCUUUUAACCUGCCUAGAGGUCAACACUGGCUUGUCCUCCACUGUGGAGUUUGUGUAUUUCAAGCUCACUUUAAUGAGAAGUUGCUCUGAGGUCAUUAUGAUUCAGCCAUAAGGAAGAGACAAAAACAAGUAAGGAAUGUCAAAGGAAGGUCAAGGGCCACUUCAAGAAUGUCAUUGGCAUGGUUGUUAUGGCAUAUUCACACACAAGCGGCCAUACACUUUUUUUUU